AGUCAGGUGGGCGGAGACAGAUGGGGACCCGGCUAUCCGGGGGCCAACUGAGGCUCCCUCGGCGCUGCAGAAUCGUUCCGCCUGGGCGGGAUUCUGACUUAGAGGCAUUCAGUCAUAAUCCCACAGAUGAUGGGUUUUUGGCAUGGUAAU
Molecule: non-coding RNA, 150 nt
Organism: Arvicanthis niloticus (Nile rat)
Lineage: Eukaryota; Metazoa; Chordata; Mammalia; Rodentia; Muridae
Source: RefSeq, a predicted model, not a curated record